This 225-nucleotide ribosomal RNA is filed under the name uncultured eukaryote. Its description in RNAcentral is "partial 18S ribosomal RNA". It matches the Rfam family "Eukaryotic small subunit ribosomal RNA", at positions 1208 to 1456 of the family's 1831-position model. The record is from RNAcentral.
GGAAAUCUCACCAGGCCCGGACACUGGAAGGAUUGACAUAUUGAUAGCUCUUUCUUGAUUCAGUGGGUGGUGGUGCAUGGCCGUUCUUAGUUGGUGGAGUGAUUUGUCUGGUUAAUUCCGUUAACGAACGAGACCUUAACCGGCUAAAUAGUCACACGAUUCUCGAAUCGUGACUGACUUCUUAGAGGGACUGUUGGUGUUUAACCAAAGUCAGGAAGGCAAUAA